Molecule: ribosomal RNA, 301 nt
Filed under: uncultured bacterium
Lineage: Bacteria
Description: partial 16S ribosomal RNA
Rfam family: Bacterial small subunit ribosomal RNA
Source: RNAcentral
CAGUCGCCGCGGUAAUACGUAGGGUGCAAGCGUUAAUCGGAAUUACUGGGCGUAAAGCGUGCGCAGGCGGUUUGUUAAGACAGAUGUGAAAUCCCCGGGCUCAACCUGAGAACUGCAUUUGUGACUGGCAAGCUAGAGUAUGGCAGAGGAGGGUGGAAUUCCGCGUGUAGCAGUGAAAUGCGUAGAUAUGCGGAGGAACACCGAUGGCGAAGGCAGCCCCCUGGGCCAAUACUGACGCUCAUGCACGAAAGCGUGGGGAGCAAACAGGAUUAGAUACCCCAGUAGUCCCUGUCUCUUAUAA